Molecule: unclassified non-coding RNA, 377 nt
Filed under: uncultured Oligoflexaceae bacterium
Lineage: Bacteria; Pseudomonadati; Bdellovibrionota; Oligoflexia; Oligoflexales; Oligoflexaceae
Description: contains 16S-23S intergenic spacer region
Source: RNAcentral
UCCGGUUUAACACCGGCGGUCUCUUCAGAGUGCCCAACUUAAUGGUGGCAACUAAAGACAAGGGUUGCGCUCGUUGCGGGACUUAACCCAACAUCUUACGACACGAGCUGACGACAGCCAUGCAGCACCUAUCUCACUGUCCCCGAAGGGAAAGCACCAUCUCUGGCGUUGUCAGUGGAUGUUAAGCCCAGGUAAGGUUCUGCGCGUUGCUUCGAAUUAAACCACAUACUCCACCGCUUGUGCGGGCCCCCGUCAAUUCCUUUGAGUUUUAGCCUUGCGACCGUACUCCCCAGGCGGAUUACUUAAUGCGUGAGCUACGGUACCCAGGAGGUUAACAUCCCGGACACCUAGUAAUCAUCGUUUACGGCGUGGACUAC